UACGAAGGGGGCUAGCGUUGUUCGGAAUUACUGGGCGUAAAGGGCGCGUAGGCGGCGUGUUAAGUCAGCUGUGAAAUCUCCGAGCUUAACUCGGAACGGUCAGCUGGUACUGAUGUGCUAGAGUGCAGAAGGGGCAAUCGGAAUUCUUGGUGUAGCGGUGAAAUGCGUAGAUAUCAAGAGGAACACCUGAGGUGAAGACGGGUUGCUGGGCUGACACUGACGCUGAGGCGCGAAAGCCAGGGGAGCAAACGGG
This 253-nucleotide ribosomal RNA is filed under the name uncultured bacterium. RNAcentral's name for it is "partial 16S ribosomal RNA". It matches the Rfam family "Bacterial small subunit ribosomal RNA", at positions 524 to 776 of the family's 1533-position model. The record is from RNAcentral.